This is a long non-coding RNA of Ornithodoros turicata, 16155 nucleotides long. RefSeq lists it as uncharacterized. NCBI's taxonomy places the organism in Eukaryota, Metazoa, Arthropoda, Arachnida, Ixodida, Argasidae. The transcript has 5 exons. The record is from RefSeq and is a predicted model, not a curated record.
GCCGUUUGAGGGAGAUGAUGAUGAUGAUGAUGAUGCUGAUGGCCAUGCCCUUUGUAAAGAGUGGACGUCGCAGUUCUUUCUGCAAGCAUCGCUUGUUGUCAAAUGGUCAAGUGAGCCCAGUUUUAAUAUUAAACAGGGAUGUACAAGUCAUGCCUGGGAACCAUCCUCUCAUAGCAUGUUAGAGUCAAGAACCCUCCCCUUCCUUUUGACCGGUGCCCCAAGAGGAAACGAGCAGAGAUUUGAUCCAAUUGAAUUAAGUACUUGUUAUGUUGCCCUGUUGCAGGAUCUAUACAGCCAUAUGUGGGACGCAUCUUCCAUUGUUUGCCCUGACUUAAUCUUUCCUCAGAAUAAAUGCAAGUAAACACAUACUCUGUGUAAGAAUGCCUUGUUCAACACCAGAAAGAAUACCUUCUUUAAGACCAAAAACAAAUUUGCUUCAUUUUACAAGUGAUUUAUUUCCAAUGGCCUCUUGCCUGUGUUCAAGACACACUGAAGGCACAUCUUACAUUCAAACGAAAUAUUGCUUUGCACAGCUAAUGUAACAUAUUCCUUGUUGUUGCCUGCAAUAACCUUGCAAGCAAGAAACAUGUUUUGUUGUUGUUUAUAUGAAUGAGCUUAAAAACAAGUCUGUAAUUGGGCAUCAUAAAUAAUGCUGCUUAUAUAUUCAUUUUACACAUAUGUCUUUCAAGGUACCUCUAGUUGUCAGUACCCAGACAUUCGCUGAAAUAUCCAGUCUUGCUAUUUCAACCUUCAUCAUCCACAAACGCAUUUGCAUCCAAAGUGGCACCUUCAUAUCCCAGUUUCACAUGUUGUCCGAGAACUUUCAUACGUGCAGACAGAGCUUGUUGUGCUUGCUGACUCCUCUUAGGUCUCUUCAAGCUUCCUCACAUCUUGUCUUUCAAUGCGUGUGCGUGACAUCGUUUGUUUUUCCAGUGCUUCCUGCAUCCCGUCUGUUGUUUCAGCCUUCCUGAAACCAUGUCAAUGACUAAGAGAUACAACAUGUUUGUAUGUGGAAAAGUUCACAGGAUCCUCGCUUGACAUUUUUGCAAUGCUACGCUUGCUAUUCAGUGUUUGCUUUUCCUGGGUAUCCCAUGGCCUUCCCCAAACGCGACCACACAUUUCAGCUCUCGUUGAUGUCGGGCAUUCAUGAUGGGGCACAGUCUAAUGAUGCCAUCUUCCCUCCCUUCUUAUGCCUCUUACAUUUUGUUUAUGACUGUGCUGAGAACAUCAACCACAAAGUUGUAGAUUUCGUCGGGUGCUUGAGCCUUUGGGCUUGAACUUGCAUUGCGAGCACUUGGCUACUGCUGCAGUAAGCGAAGAGUCGAACUGCCUUUCUAACGUUCACUGUAUAAUACCCCAAAAACAGAAUCACAUGGCGCGCUGAUGGCACACACUAUACGCCCUUUCUUCGUCUUUCCCCAACAGCUACCAUCUCUGUGUGUUUUGCCAUGGAUGGCACCUUUCCAGCCUUUGCAUGUUGAUGAAACGCCUCCACAUUAAUGGUGCAUCACCGUGCACCAAGAGAAAUUCAGGAUGUGGAGUCUCGUCACUGCAAUGAUGCUUGCAGGCUGUUUUUAUCUCCUAUGCAGUGUUCUGUUUCACUAUUGUAGCCUCUUGCAGCCAUAUCCAUUCAUUUGUACGGAGAGCUUGAGAGAUCUGUUUUAUGUGCUAACAUUCACUUUGUACUGUUCCACUGUCUUUAUGAUGCAGUAGAAUAAUCUGGAGCUUCAUCAUGUUCCAUAAGGCAAAGUAAUUUUUAGCCUUGCACGUCCUGUAACUUAUUUUUAAGCUUUGUCAUACCAACAACAACAAGACAUCUUUGCCUAACAAGGACACAGGUGUAGCACACAAUAUCAUGGCAUCAAAUGUCACCACAAUUGUGGCUACUAUUUCAGUAGCACACUGCCUUCCAGGCAUAUAUAUGGUACAAAUGCACACACAGUAUCCAGACUACAAAGAAAUUCUUUUCCUUUUUUUUUUCAAUGCUUCUGCAAUGUUUUCAGCUGUUUCCUUUACUCCCCAAAUCGUGCUUAAACUACUACUUCUGUGACGAACUUGUAGUACAGUGCUGACUUCUGUGUACAGUAAAACCCCCAGUGUACAGUGAAACCUCUAAUUACAGAGAUCCCCUCAGGUCACACGCCUCCGUUUGACCGGACAGCAGCCAUUGCCUAGGAAGUAGUAUUUAGCAUCUCUUAUGGACGUCCGUUCUAUGAGCAACUUCCUUUCAUCUACAGAAACACCAGACAUUGACUGUUUGUACUAGACAGAUCUCACCACAUUCCACAUUUCUUUUUUUGCACCAUUGCAUGAUUUUCCAUAAACACAAUACAACUAGGCUUUCCAGUGUUCUGUGUUUAUAUUUUCCGAGGUGGCAUAAGAUAGGGCGAAGAAAAUUGACACAGAGAAGUUAUCCUAUUAUUUCAUUAUGUUAUUAGACAAUUCAAUGUUGUACCACUGUAAUUUGGUUUGGUGUUCAUUUUUGCUGUGUUUCGGGAGAUCUCAAAAAUUCUAAACACUGGAAACCCUAAAUACAACACAUACAGUACCCACAUACAAUGAGUAGAUACACAAGGACCAGUACAGCAUCUGCCAUUCUUUUACUUUUUAUGUUUCUUUUCUCUAUGCUUAAUGCAAAUGUUUUUUACAGAUGAUGGACGAAAGUGUACUCAUCAUGAGGGUCAAUCAUUUCCUUCAUUCCUAUGACCUUCUGGCAGCCAAGGACACUUGGCCACUUCACACAUUACGGACGACGAACACAUAAAGCAGUCCAGUGAACUUCGAUGCAACUUAGCCGCAACUAUAACGAAUGUCUGAAGCUUGUACGCUUAUGUAUCAGGUCACCCCAUGAAAUGUUAUGAAAUUCUGGCACUACAAAAUUAAUUAAGAACACACUUGUCAUCAAACAACAAUGACAACACAAUGGUGUGUAACAGAAUUCAAAAUCUAAUUCCACAGUCCUGCUUUUUAGUUGUAGGGCUAAAUUUUUUUACACCAUAUGCCGGAUAAACAAUAUGAGUAGGAAAUAUUUUCCCACUGACGUUUCUGUAACUUCUUGCAGGUCCUCCUUGCCGCCCAUAGGCAGGCAUUAUCUCUCUGCAGCCCACCCUUACAAUUGACCUGUGCUGGGGGCUUCUUCGACUCUUCCAGCUGCUAGCAGUAGGUGUUCGCAGUGACUUUCCAGCUCAGUGGAGACAAUCUCGCAUGGAUGAUACCAUGCACCCUCCACUAGGCAUACAACGCCAAUUUCCGCAGCUGAAGUUCGCCUUGCUGCAGUUGCUUGAAGUUGCCUUACACACACACCUUGCUGAUACAACUUGCUGCAGUUUGAUCUCGUUGCGUGCACAGUCUGAGUAUACCUUCUUAUUUAGAACUAGUGUCACAAUGUUGCUGUAGCUCGUGACCUGCUUAUCGCAUGAUACCCGUUGCAUAAACCCGUGAAAGACAACAUUUGGGGUGACCUUAUACGUGAAGAUAGUGCAGUGAACAAUUGACACUGUGCAUACUAGCAACCACAUUAAAGAAAGAUCAGUCCAAAGAAAGUGCUCAAUUAGGAUAAUUGUAUCUGUUCUGAAACUAGUGCUCUAUAGGCUACGUUUCUUCUUUUUUAAAUUUUCCUACACUUCCCUGUUGCUUCAGAAAGCAGGUGUAAUAUCUUCCAAAUCUUUGAGGGCAUUUUCCCACAUACAGUGUUAAGUGGUUAAUCUUUUUCCAUUUUGCACGGCAAUUUUCGACGUGGCAGCGUGUUCCACCAGCAGUUUAGGCAGGUUUGACUGGAGCAGGCUGUUUGGAUGUAUCUAGCACACAUAUGUUUGACACGUCUUUUGCACUGGCAUGUCAAGCGAGCCAACUUCAUCAGUAUACUGCUUUUAGAUAGUGCUUUUGUAUCUUCCAGACAGGAAAGACAUUGCUUUCUUUGCCCUUGGCUAAUAGCCACAGCCUUUUUACAAAUCUUUUCCCCAAUCUGGAGCUUGCUAUGUUUAUUCAAACCAACAUCAUAAUUUUACCCAACUUAGCCCCACACCCCCCCUGAUAACCUCACAAGUAUUAAUAUAUAUAAUUUUUGUCAUUUGCGAGUUUCUCAAUGUGCUUACGAGCUGGAAAGGAGCAAGAGACGUUGGGCACACUGUACUUCUCAAUCCUUUCCAUCUUUUUGAUGCACAAAACCCUUACCAUAUGCUCGGAAUGACAACUAAUAUACUGCUACUAAUAAUGUUAAAUAGAUUAAUAUAUAAAUAAAUAAAAAAUUAACUUAGCAAUUUCCGGAGUUGCACAUUGUGCACCCUAGUUUCUUGGUAAACACCACUACUUUUGCUGUGCUUGCUCUUCUGUCUGGGGAUAACACUAAACACGAUUCCACACUGGUCGGAAAGAACAUCAAGUUACAUGACUUUUUAAAACCCUAGAGCUUUAUGCAUUUGCCACUGGACAGAGCAUGUAAGUGACCCCAUUUGUCACUUUUGCCCUCAAUCACGUGCCAACAUGUUUAUUGGGCGGAGAGAUUACUUUUUUGUCUGCGCUCUACCUCUGCAUACCUGUGUGUUAGCAGUGAUUCUGCAGCCUUGCUCAUGGUGCCGUGCAGGGCAUUUUAAAAGCAUUUUGUAUUCUGUAGCAUAGACUUUCACAUUGCUUUAUCUCUUUACAGUCAAGAGCAUACGAAAAGUGCAAUUUGACUGAUGUCGAUUACCUUGAGUAUUGUAUGUGAUACUGCCGUAACUUUUCCACUUACACGCUUUGUGUUCAACCAGAUGAAGCCAUCUUCAUCCCAUCCGAGUGUGUGUGGUGACUCUCGAUGGCAUCUUAGCACACAUCCCAGAGCACUCACUUGCUGCGAGAGCAUCAGCUCGGGAUGGAGCCAUGCGACAUUGUGGGCCUCUUCAGGGGCCCACGGUGCCAAAGGCCUAACUUUUGCUGCGGCCAAGCAUAUGAACCCAUCACAUACGGUGAGUCCACCAUGCCCUUUCUUACUGCGCUGUUAGGAAUGUGCACUUUCUUUCAAGGAGGUGUUUCACAAGAAAGUUUUUUAAGUAGUCAUCCAUUAGGGAUUCCUUUAUAUAGUCAUCUCUGUAUCACUUGUCAUUACAGCGCAAGCCUGAAUGUAAUAUGAUGAGCCCUAUACCUUCUGUGGUACUCCAUAGGCCCCUCUCCGUGGAGGGCACCUGAAUGUACCAGUGUCGGCGACAUUAACACAUUUCUUAUGCCAGGACUGUUUGCACACAGUGCACUCUACUCUGUCUUCCUGGUUCGUCGGCAGUCUACAGUUCAGGCAGGUGUCUGCUGUCUCUGUGACACAAUCCCUGCUGAGGCAGUUCCCUGUGAUUGUAUCGUAUAUGUGCCUUCUCAUUUGUAGCACAUCACAUUCUCUAUGGAAACCAUCAGCGUCAUUCUUACAAAAUAAUUCGGCGUACCAGCACACAAGCACGCCACAGCUGCUUGUAUCAGUUUGGAGUGUCUGCAUCACUUUGUCAAAUUGCCAAUGUCUUCUUCGAUGUGCAAACAAUUUACGUCCGUACUUCUUGCUGAGAAACUCGCACACAAGAAGUGCGGCCUUUUUGACCCUUUCCGAUUCCCACGACAGUGGAUCUAAGCAAUAGAUUGAUCCCAUCCAUGUCGUAACGACAAUGAGGGUCCAGUGCGACGAAUCAAUGUUGUAUGGUACAAAGAUUGUGUGCUUGUCAUAGAUGUUGCUGGACGUUGUCCACCACUUAUACUUUUUAACUGCGUCCACUCCUCUCGAUUCUAGCAUCUGAGUGAAGUACGUAGGGCACAUCGCUGUGCCGCUAUACAUUUCGGUCAACCUUUGGAGGAAGCAGUCGAUCACCGUAUCGUAGAGCCAGCCCCUUCUGAAUGUGUCAGAAUCUUCACGCAAGCAUUUUUCUUCUGCUUCUGAAAUUUCUGUGUCAAUAGACUUCAAAUCCCUGAGAGUUAGGUUCGUGUGCUUGAACCACAGAACGGUAUCACUCGGUUCCUUUGAGUACCGAAUGCUUACACUGAAGGAGCUGUCCGUGUUUUGUUUCUGCACAUGGCUUGCUGUACGAGCUAGCCUCUUCCUCUUUUUCUUUGGCUGUGCGCUUUCUGUAGUCUCGAACUCCGUGUCCGACAACAAAAACUUAGCGGAGCGGUCGCUUUGAGUGACACUUGUGUCACUGCCAACUGAACUGAUGGCCACUACCUCACUGUCAUGAGGUUGCAAUACGUCAUCUUCCACAGGAAAUUGUUCUGGGCUCACCUCCUUAGCCCUUGUGCUGCCCUUGUUUAUUGUACUUGUGGCGCUGAGCUGAGGCUGCACGCUUGCACACUUUUGCCUCAUCUCUACUCUCGUCUCUUGUCCUUCCUUGGUGUUUCCAGAGUGCUCCACACUGGAGCCUGCUUCAACAAAUACUUUGUGUUUUGUCCUUCUCUCAUGUCUGAAAACAUCCAUGUCCCUGUCGCCAGAUAUGCUAGGAGUGACAGGGCACUGGAACGCCCUGUCACGUUUUCGCACGGUUGAAUAUUUUACUCCUACGCAGUCACAGUGAUACCACUGCAUGCACGUAUCGCACUGCACCCACGUGCUGUGCUUUUCUUUGUUCUCACAGAUGAUGCACUCCUCAUCCACCAUGUGGCUCCGUUUCAAGCAGCCACCGACAAUGGUGCAAAAGAUGUGGUGGCGCAUUUUUAUUGUGUCACAUGCUCCGAGUCCCUGUCCAUAUCUGUUGCCUGCAGCCACCUGUUCCGCAAACCAGCACACAAUGACGCCACCACUCCCUUCCUCGCUGUGCAAGCUGUGUCGUACUACUUGAGGAGUCCAGGCACCUCCCAGGAAUAGGUGCUUGAGAAAAUCGGAUAAGUGAUCGUAAAGCAGGCUAGUCAUCUCCAUGUAUGACACUUCAUCACUUGUUGGAUCGAAAAGCAAGACUGUGUCCGUGUCACGCAAGGCAACAAAUAUUGCCCACUUCUCGUCUCGUUUGCAAUAUGGAAUGAAAAGCGUGUUUCUGCCUUCCAUGGACUUGGUGACAAGCAGUUGUUCUGCGAGUAAGUGUGCCACAUUGUCACACCUCAAAAGAGGCACCAAGUAAGCAUAACUGCUUGCAACUUUGUCAAACCUUAUGCUUAGCUUCAUUAAAAAUGCCUCAAUUAUUGCGUCAAAGAGGUAGCCCUUCCGAAAUAACUUGUCAGAUGCACUUAGCUUUGCUUCAUUAGAUUUGUCGAUUGUAUUGUCGAGAGACAUGAGAUCAAUGAGCCUGAUAGAUAUGUCUGUGGGCUCACCAAAUGCGAGUACAACUUCACUACUUGUCCCUGCGUAGUUGAGGCAGAUAGGUAAGGGAAGGGCAGGCUCGUAAUUUUCGGACUUCACCAUCCCGCAUUCCCUGUCUCUCUCCUCAUCAGGCAUCUCCAUUGCCAGAGCUUGGGUGGGGACAGUUGUUUUGUCCUGCAAUGCGACGGCAGUGCUGGGCACUAUGUCUUGUAAAGGUGACGCACCUGUGAGGGAAUGCACCUCUUUUUCCCUUGAAGAGGGCAUGCCAAUUUCCAUUGCUGUUUGCACUUCCUUUUGCUGUGGUGCAUCUACGCUUUGUUUUCCUUUUCCUUUGGUUUGACGGGCUUUCCUGUAACUGGACUGCUUUUCCAUUUUUUUUGCAGCAGGGAGAAAGCGGCAUUUCAUUUCGGGUACGCCUUGUGUGGUGCCCUCCGUUAUCAAAACCUCACACUCUGCUAGCAGUGUAUCUAUGGCCAAGGCAAUAUUCUGCCCUAACGUCUCAGAUACAACUUCAAUGUCCAGGUAGGAUGCUAGUUUCUUCAGUUUGUCCUUUGUGCUCAUCUCCCAGGCAUCUACAUUAGCAGUUUCUACUGCACUUUCUGCGUCUGGAUUGUAGUAUACUGUCAACCCUGGGGACUUGCAUGAUGGAGGUCGCUCCUCAGAGCGUGGCACGCAUCUACUGUGUACCUUGUGAAUGUGCUUGCAUAAGGGGUUGACAUCCUUACAGCUGCAAGAAUACAUGUGUGCACAGAGGUCAGUGCACACUUUGCUCGAGCAACGCUGGUAACAAAGAUCCUCUGUGCACGGCCCAAUGUCUUUGUGCGCCACUACUUCGUAGGGGUUGCUCCCUGUUUGGGAUUUCACGUGCCAUGCAGAAUGACCUAUUCUUGUGACAUCGUCAUCAGAAAUUUGCAUUCCCCGUUUGUGGCGUGCAUUAUCUCUCCUUCCUGGGACCCCAGGUUGUUGUGGGAGGUUGGAUACCAAAUGCCUCCUGUGCUCAUGAUACCAAUCCCGUUCAACAUCCAGUAGUGCUGCAACGAGCCUUUCAAUUCUUACGUUGGACUUCCUCUCGAGGUACUUUCGCUUCAACACGCUGUGGAAGCUCUCAGUGUGAUUAUUUGUGUCCGUGCAAGCAUGUGGGAACAUCCUCCGGCACAUGGCCCACUCGUCUACUCUGCUUAGAUACUCACACUCAAAGUAGUUGGCAAAGUUCUCGUCCACUUGCCUCACGUCGUGGAGAAACGACGUAGAAAGUUCCGCAAACUUUUCUUCAUUUUUUUCUCGCAAGAGAGCAUCUAGCAGUCUCAAGAUUUCACCUUUUGUACCUUUGCUCUUGUGCUUCCUUGCUGUGACAUUCAGCUUUCUGUGCCAUGCAUUUUUAAUGUGGUAGUGGCACAAAAUGUGCUUUAUUUCCUGACCCUUGAAAACACUUCUGAGUGCCUUCAUGUAGCUGCGCUCAUCAUCUGUCAUCACGGCAUUGAAGACAAGACCUGGGCACUUCCUCUUCACAGCGGCAAAAAACAUACCCAUGGUUUUUGUUGUCAUUCUAUUGCUAAUAAAAUGAGCUACAGGGUAUCCUCUUCCGCGCUCGUCAAGUACAACAACGUUUAGCAGGUGAAAUUUGUACAUAUUGGUUCCAUGUGUGUAAUCCAUGCACACAAUAGGGUUUGCACAACUCAUCAAAAUGUCUCUCUGUUCGUUUGACAUUAUUCCCAGUAGGAACAGGUCCCUGUUACAUGAAUGGAAUUUCACGUCCUUCAUGCCACAGAAAUCAACUCCAUCUUUCCCUUGUGCUUUGUACAGAAUGAAGGGAUUGUGGCCCUGCUGACUGAAGAACUUCACUGAGAGGGCAAGCGACUGCGCAUCUUCUCGAUGUCGCUGCGCUGCAAGGCGUGCACGGUACGCAGCCUGGUUAAUCUGUUUCUGUGUUAUGUAUACACGUCUGUCACGGCUUGAUACACGCUGCCUGGACCCCAGUGAUGACACCGGCAGAGUCACUUUCUUGAACACCACUCUUGAAGGAACUCCUACAGCAAUUUGAGUUUUUAUCCACCUUUGUACUCCACGUGAUUGGCGCAGGUGUUUCCUGUUUGAAUCGCUCAGUUUGUGACUGUGUGUCACAAUGUAGUUAACUCUAAUGCCAUCUCUGUGUCUUGUUACAUUCAUCUUUGAUAUGCAUGGGCUGCUACUAGCAACUGUUCCUUUUACGUUCCUGCGCAUGGUUUUUCGCUCAGUCACACAAGCUUGUGUCUGGCAGACAUAAUGCAGGUAACGUACCUGUGGCUUAUGCCCUUCUGUGGCAUGUGCUGUGUCAGACUGCCUCAGGAAAGUGGCAUGCACCUUUGAGGCUUGUGUUGUGGAAGAGUGCUUCAGGGAAGCACUAUGCCCUUCUGAAGCAUCAGGCUCCAGGCAAGUGGCGUGCCCAUCUGAAGCACGAAGCUCCAGGAAAGCGGUGUGCCCAUCUGAAGCACGAGGCUUCAGGAAAGCGGUGUGCCCAUCUGAAGCACGAGGCUUCAGGAAAGCGGUGUGCCCAUCUGAAGCACGAGGCUUCAGGCAAGCGGCGUGCCCAUCUGAAGCACGAAGCUCCAGGCAUGUGGCGUGCCCAUCUGAAGCACGAGGCUCCAGGCAAGUGGCGUGCCCAUCUGUAGCAUGAGGCUCCAGGCAAGCUGUGUGUCCCUCCGAAGCACGUUUUGUAGUACGCUGCUUCUGGUAACCACUAUUCCUUUUGGUGUCGUGUUUCUUUAUGGACUGCUUAAUAUAGGCAUAACCACACUUAUCUUCCUCGCUUUCCUUCCACUUCUCGAAGGCUGCAAGGCUAUCAAAGUGGUGGGUUUCAGUUUUUACGUUCAACUUAUGACAACGCAAGGUAUGUUCUGCCAGCCUGCUUGCAUGGUAGAAUUUCAUAUUGCAUUCCGAUACUGUACAUUGCCACUUUCCGAUCUUGCUGUGCUCUUUUCUUCUGCAGACUCUGCUGAGAUGUCUCUGAAGAUUGUGCUUAGAGGCAAACUUGCCUUGGCAGCGUGGACAAUUGUACAGUCGCAUUCUGGGCACCCAGACUUCUGAGACUAGCGCUUAUUUCAAUGCAAAGUGUUUGAUCACAGAGAAGAAAACAGAGACAUUAAUUCCAGAACUUUGACAGAGUAACUUUAUUGCACCUUUGCUGCUGCCUUUUCAGCACCUCUGAAUCUCCCAGAGCUUCUGUGCCAGCACCAGAAGUAUCUGUAAAGAAAGUGUCAAGUGCUCUAAUAAUCUGGGAUUGUGAGACUGCGCAACAGCUAAUGCAAAGCACAUUUCUCCCUUGUUUGUGCAGGAGUGCUAACUCAGGUUGACCCAUUGGACCAUGUUUGAUAAAUGUGUUCCAAAACUUCGUUCCAACUGAUUAAGGGGAACCAUUUUAACAUCACACAGAUCAUAUAAAUACCUAGGUCUUCUAGCACACCCUCACUUGGGUGACUCAUAUCACUUGCGUUAAAAAAGGCCUGUCACACUUUACGCUGUCUCAAAUGGUGCCCUUCUGCUCCACUGCACAACAUAAUCAAAUACAAUCAAAUUAAUAAUCGAAGACAUAACAGCAUUUUUGCACACGAAAUACAUUUGUUGCAAUUCAUUCUUUAGUUCAUAUUGUUCUCUCAUAACAUGCCUCUCAUAUCAUACCUGCAGUCUAGAGUUCACUAAAAUAAUGUUUUGAAAUUCCUGUUUGACAGCCCACUUAUAUCUACUAAAAGGCCAAAUUCAUUUAGUAGUCGUGGCAUCUGAUAAGUUAUACUUUUGUGUGCCAAUUGGAGUUGUACAAUCUUGGGUGGAACCAUUGAAUCUGGUUCCUAGUACAAUAAGACUGUCUCUAAUGUGAGGGUAGCCAUAGGCAAAACCUUUGUUUGUUAUUGCAUUCGCAGACGUUUGUAUCAGUGGAAAUUAACUUUUACGAUUCCAUACUUCUGGAAAUAUGCUUUAUGUGAUUGGUUCUGUUUCAAGUUUUUGAUAGCGUGUAUAUAUUGCUUUUGGAUUUUUUCCAUUGAGUGCAGGUUCUAUAGACCGCACGAGAUAAGACAAGAGAAGGCCUAUGGGCAAAGCAAGAUGGGAAUAACAGAGGUAGGAAAAAAAAAACACAUUACACACAGGGUUCCCGGUCUUCGGUAUUUACCAAAAAGCAACGAUAAGCGUAUGCCGGUAAAUUUUUUACAAGUUUGGCAGAAAUAAUUAUUCACUGAUUGCCGAAAAGCUGACUUCAAAUGUCAUGAUUGCAUUUCCUGUUCCUUCACCCUGAACUGGUUGGCAGCAGACAGUGGACCUUAGGUCGUUCUUGAAAGAACAGAUAUUUUGUCGUUAGCUUCUCACACAGUCUUAAUGUUGCCAAUAAUCAGGUUCCAGGCCAGCCCUGUUCGGUCAGGAAGCAGUGAUGGGCAGUACUUGAAGUACCAAGUACUCAAGCAGGAAGAGAGUUGCCUCAGGACAGGAGGCUCCUGUCCUGAAAAAUCACAAAAGUCUAUAAAAAAAAUGCACUCUACUAAAAGCACUAAAGUGAUGGCAAGAAAACGAAAACACACAGAUAGCGCUAUCUGUGUGUUUUUGUCUUCUUGCCAUCACUUUAGCACUUUUAGUGGGAUGCAGUACCAACAGUCCCAGUCUGACAUUUUACCAUUUGCUUUUAGAGAGCAUAUUUGUUGAAGUGAAUAUUUUGUUGAGUGGCUUGAAAUGUUGAGACAGUAUCAUUUCUACUAUGAUUAUGUAAAACGAACGGAAUGCAAAGACACACACACAUUAUGACAGAGCUACCGGCACCACAAUGACUUGGUCAGUUGUCAUUUCAGUUCUCCCAAAGCAGGGUUCUAUGCUUUUUUUUUAUAUUGUUUCCUCCGUAUAAACAUGAAGGCUUGGAUUGUGCUUCAUUCUUUUUAAGUUUCUUCGUAUUCUUUUUUAAACAUGUUGUAUUUCAAAAAGUAGCUAGGAAUGCCCAGAAAUAUAUAGUCUCUGUUGGCUUGUACUUUUUUUCCCUUAAAAUUUCCCAGCCUGUUAUAGCAGAAGAUUAGUACCGGAACAGCACACUAGGCGGGUGAUCUUGAUCAGUCAGUGUAUAAUACCCCUGUCACACGGGCAUUUCGAUCCUUCUCGAAUCCGAUCUGCAUCGAACUUCCCGAGCACGCUCGAGUUUUGACGCUGCUACACGGCCACUUUCAAUGCGCAUUGAAUGGUUGACCUGUGCAAAUGAAUAAACGGAACUCACUAAUUUUGUGUUUCCUAUAUAACAGCGAUAUUAGUGGUAAUUUAUCGUAUACUGAUGUAAGCAUCAUUUGUAGCUUUGCGCGCAUGUCCGUCUUAAGUUAUAACGGUUCACCGGGGUCGAGGAUACAAAUGGCGGCCGUCGAGCAGUCUUGAAAUUCUCAAUCCUGUUAUGGGAACUGUCUUGAGUCAAGCAGGAUCAAAGUUCGAUCCUGCUUGGAAGCGGCCGUGUAGCACCAUCCGAUCUGCAUUGGGUUCAAGCAGGUUCGGUCGAGCAGGAUCGAAAAUGCCCGUGUGACAGGGGUAUAAUACCAUUUUGCAUAAUCACAGCACAGCUGGCUAAUUACCUCUCUACAUGUAACUGCAAAUUAUGCCUACUGAUUAAGUUUGUAUUCAUGGGUUAGCACUUAACUUGUGACUUUAUGGCGUCAGAGCAUUUUUUCAGAAUGCUCGCUAAAGUUUUGCAAAAAAAAGCAAGCAAGACACAGAUAUUAAACAGCGAAAUGCAAAGUGAUACAAAUUGGCAAUGGACUUGAUGAGUACGUGAAGUACUUUACCUAGCACUUUUUACUGUACUUGAAGUACUAAUGAUGCCAGGUACUUUAAUUUAAGUAUAAUUUUGAGGUACUUUGCCCAUCACCAUCACGAAGUGCCCCAGCUAGAGCCUAUAGACCAUGAAGUGUAUCAGUGUGAACAAUUCACCUAUUCCACAAACACUGAAAACUAGGACACAGUCUGACCGAAAGAUUUGCCUUCUAGAAGAGAGCUCCUAUGCUAAUUCUUUACAGUGAAAUGAGCGGUGUGCGAUGUCACCUCAUGCGUGCACCUCCUCCGAUGUCGAACAUGUACCUCAGAAAAAUAUUAACCCCUGAUUUUAACAGUUGGCAUUGUAAUCUAUAAAGACACACAAGGACAUCAAGUGUUGGUUCUGUGUAUGCAUGGGGAACUCCCGUAACGUUCUUUGCCAGUUUCCAUCGGGCGUCUUCAUGCUUCAAAACAUUAGCACUGAAGGACACUGAUUUCUGAUGAGCGAAAUAGCCACCAAAUCUCUGAAAAAUUAAGCACCGAAAACCCGAAACCCUAAUUGUACAGCGUUAUCUUCACCCACUGGUAAGAAAUUUUUACACCUAGACAAUUUUCCCCGUAAUAAUGCAAGCUUACAGAAAACAUAAUUAACAUGAUCAUCCCAGAAAAGCGACUCAUGGAAAGAAACAUCAAGAAACUUGACCUUAUCCACUGUCUCUACCUCCUUGUUACCUAUUUUCAAAGGUGGAACCAAAUCGAGAUGUUCCUGGUGUUUCCUGGUCUUAACAUUCAUAGGCGGAGAGUUUUCAAUCAUCCAGAGGGGACCAGGGCACAACGCCCCCUCCCAUGCAGAGAGGUCAGGCAGAGUAUCAGGAAUUCUGUGUUAUGACGUUAUGAGACAAACUUUUACAGGAUUUUCAUUAUAACUCGCACGCAACAAGCGAUCGAUUCCUAGGAUAUCCCUCGAAACUUCCAUCUUGAGGAGGGUGCUCUGGAGGGUGCCUGGCCCCCCUCAUGGGAACGUUCCGGGGGGGUCAGGCCCCAGAGCCCCUCGCAGUCGACGCCUAUGUGAACAUUAAUGCCUUGCUUUACUUGAGCUUCAUACGAAUCAUAUUACAUUUUAUAUGUCCUAAGCCUAGGUGCAGUUAUUUAUCCAGACCCCCCACUACACCUGCCUAAAAAAACUAAUAAAAUUUUGCGAUGUUAUGCAAUAUUCUGUCAAAGAAUGGUGGUGUCCGCAUCUUGUGACCUUACACACCCCCAGGCACGAGAUUCUGGGUAAAUCACUGCUUAAUUGGGCGGGAGGGAGCACAUAGAUUGAUAAGGCACAAUAGGUCACGACCGUGGAAAGUAUGAUGACAACCUUAUUUGGUGAAUGGUGAUCGAGUGUCAUCACCAGGGAAAGUGAAAAGUGUGUCUAAUCAUGUGGAAGUACUGUGUAUUACUUUGUACAGCGAAAUAUCAUAUCUCAGUUGCCUGCAAUGUGAAGGUGGUGAUAGCCCACAUUUCAUUCGAACGUGUUGAAGUAUGUGCUGAUGCCAUUGUGUCCAUCAUACAGGAUAGAUGAAUCGAACUUGUUUGACUGAACUUGUGUUUACGCAGGGCUGGAGAGAGAAACUAUGGGCCCCAUGGGUGACCCUGGAUGAGUCCUGCAGGGGCACCCCUCCUAACGUCUGUUGGUACUAUAACUAUCGUGCCCUGAGCUGCGUGGCCCCUGGAUACCCCCCCUUGCGCCGUCCCUGGGUUUGCAGUGCUGCAGAUGACGGAAGAGAAAUGAAUAAUGGAAAUGACAUCAGGAACAAAUAGGACGUGUCAGGCUGGCACGACCUUAUAGGACGCCGGACACGUGACGGUGCGCGGAAGGCUGCGUUCGCUACAGACGCGUGCGGAACCAGCAUUGGAGUCGACUCAGACUUGAACGUAUCGUGAGUACUUUGCUAAGAAGGCACAAGUACUCCUCCUCCACCGUGUGUCAAAAUUCCUCAGCACACCCGCCUAUACGCCGGUGCUUCUUUUCCUUCUUUCUGGCAAAUCGACGCACACUAUCGCACCCCACCUAUAUAAGGCGCUCACCACUUGCUAUAGACAUACAUGCCCUCUGGUAAACCACGUCUUCUGGGCCUCCAUCCUCUUAGUUCCUCCCCGAUACUGAGAGUGAGUACACAUUUUACUUGCAUUUUCCAGUGUAUAAUGUUCGGCCCCAUGCAACCUACAUAAGCUGAAAUCAGUUAUAUAAAUGCAAUAGCGCCUGUCCGUGUCCGCCUUGUGUCCUCGACUGUUCGCGCGCUCCUCAGUUAUGACUUUGUACCAAGUGGGCAACGCUUCUACCUUGCUGUAAUAAGUUAGACGGACCCCCGUUGUACCUGACUGAAAAAUUUUCUUCGCGCUAAUGAGCGCAUAAGCAGAAGUAAUCAAUUUGUGUAUAUAACUUUGGCGAGGUCUGUAAGAACGAAUGGAGAUAGAAAUCACCAGGAAUAUUACUUUUGUUCGUGUGUGCGCUAGAAACCUUUCCCCUUCCGCAGAUAAGUGUGUCCAGAAAGGAUGAGUGUUUUGCUGAAGAAGAAAACUUGCGCGUUGUAGUGAAAAUAAACAAAAUAGGAGACAGCGACCUUUACGGUGCACACAUUUUUUUGCGGAGUGCUAAUUGUUCCGCUGUUUCAGAUGGCUCCCCCAACCAAUAGGUCUAGACACUGGGCAAAGCCCAGCCACCGAGACCGAAACCGAGACAGGAACCGAAGGCCACGACGACGGGACGCCGCGACGAUGGCGCAGAGCGAGCAAAACAGGGUCACGCUCCUCGCGUGGACUGAACCCUGGGGCAUGCAGCCACAGGGAGUACGCGGGGACCCGUGGCCCAACCGGUUCCAAGACAUCCGACCCGUACAGAUGGGCCAAGCGGCGGGGGAGCAGGAAGCGGAGGUCGUCACGGCACCUUCAGGGCACGUACUUGAGACGUGCCCAACUUGCGGCGCCUUCGCCGUCAGCAGGGCUGUGCACAUCCGCACGAAGCGACAUAUUGAAGCUCUGCUGGCGGCGGAGGAGGCAGCUCCGAAGAAGCAGGAACCGAGAAAAGAACUGAGAACCGAGAAACCGUAGACAUGUAAAUAUAAGUGCUAUUUUUAUUGUUCGUGAAAUUAUGUUAAUGUAUGCAGAUGGAACGCAAUAAAAUUUACCUC